Molecule: unclassified non-coding RNA, 376 nt
Filed under: uncultured Actinomycetes bacterium
Lineage: Bacteria; Bacillati; Actinomycetota; Actinomycetes
Description: uncultured actinobacterium contains 16S-23S intergenic spacer region
Source: RNAcentral
UCCGAGUUGACCCCGGCAGUCUCCUACGAGUCCCCGGCAUAACCCGCUGGCAACAUAGGACAAGGGUUGCGCUCGUUGCGGGACUUAACCCAACACCUCACGGCACGAGCUGACGACAACCAUGCACCACCUGUAUAGGACGCCGAAGCACACCACAUCUCUGUGGCUUUUCCCUAUAUGUCAAGCCCUGGUAAGGUUCUUCGCGUUGCAUCGAAUUAAACCACACGCUCCGCUGCUUGUGCGGGCCCCCGUCAAUUCCUUUGAGUUUUAGCCUUGCGGCCGUACUCCCCAGGCGGGACACUUAAUGCGUUAGCUGCGGCACGGGAGGAGUCGACACCUCCCACACCUAGUGUCCAUCGUUUACGGCGUGGACUAC